AAUAGAUACCCGGGUAGUCCACGCCGUAAACGAUGUCGACUUGGAGGUUGUUCCCUUGAGGAGUGGCUUCCGGAGCUAACGCGUUAAGUCGACCGCCUGGGGAGUACGGCCGCAAGGUUAAAACUCAAAUGAAUUGACGGGGGGCCCGCACAAGCGGUGGAGCAUGUGGUUUAAUUCGAUGCAACGCGAAGAACCUUACCUACUCUUGACAUCCAGAGAACUUUCCAGAGAUGGAUUGGUGCCUUCGGGAACUCUGAGACAGGUGCUGCAUGGCUGUCGUCAGCUCGUGUUGUGAAAUGUUGGGUUAAGUCCCGCAACGAGCGCAACCCUUAUCCUUUGUUGCCAGCGGUUCGGCCGGGAACUCAAAGGAGACUGCCAGUGAUAAACUGGAGGAAGGUGGGGAUGACGUCAAGUCAUCAUGGCCCUUACGAGUAGGGCUACGACACGUGCUACAAUGGCGUAUACAAAGAGAAGCGACCUCGCGAGAGCAAGCGGACCUCAUAAAAGUCGUCGUAGUCCGGAUUGGAGUCUGCAACUCGACU
RNAcentral lists this ribosomal RNA (542 nucleotides) under uncultured bacterium. Its description in RNAcentral is "bacterial SSU rRNA". It matches the Rfam family "Bacterial small subunit ribosomal RNA", at positions 777 to 1317 of the family's 1533-position model. The record is from RNAcentral.